CAUGUACAAUGAAAUGCUAGUGAGCCACAAAUUACUUUUAUACAGUAAAUUUAACCCACAUCUAUAUAUUUCUUUCAAGACCUGAUGGGUUUUUUGAUGGAGUCUUUUUGGCCAAUGAUGCUGAGGUGUCCUCCUUUGUUGAUUACAUCCAUGGAACAACUGGACAUAAUCCAGGGAAAGGGAGAUGUGGUGCUGGUCAGUGGACCGCAGCACGAGAGUCUGCCAACAAGUCUGGAAGCAAACUAGACGAGGAAGGUGUUGAAGUUGCUGUCUGCCGUCAUGGGGUUUUGCUGAAGGGACUGAAUAUGUUCAGUGGAGAAAUAUUUGCAUACCCAUUAUAUCUCCAGAAACAGCUAGCUUCACAGACCGUCCAGUUUUUUUGCUCUGAUGUGGUCUGCAAAUAUUGGCCAUAUCUGCAGAAAGUUGUGGACCACUGUCCAGAGUUGGAGGACUUGCUGAACAUGCGCCCAUUUCUCUCCAUCAUGCAUGCAAAAGCGCAUUCAUGGAUGUGUGAAUUAAAAUGGGGGGGACGCAAUCAAGAAGGAGCUGGAACAACAAUCGGGGAGGAGGUUGAACAGGUUAACAGCUUCCUCUCUCGAGCAGCCAUAUGUUCCAAGUACAUGUCAAAAGCCGUUCGCACAGACAUGCUAACAAUCCAGGCAAGUGGCUGGAACAAGCGAAAGGCAGAAAACCUUGACCGGACACUGGCCAAAAGAUACAUCAAGACUGUACAAAGGAUUGCAGAGGCAACAAAGGACCUGGAGAAACUCACAGCUGAGUUAUCUCUAUAGCAAGACACAGUCCAGCAGUGGGUGUCUGAUGUUCAGCAGUGGACCUCAGGAGCAACAAUCCAAAAUGACCUGCAGAGGACCAUCGAGGAGCUAUAUCUGGGCAUCAAACAGCGAAAAGUUCAGCUGUAUCGUCAGUCUGGUGGGAACAAGCGAAGGCAUCAACUGAGAAGAAAGAUUGCUGUUGAGAAGAAAGCCUUGGAAGUUGCCAUCAAUGACCACAAUGCUACUGUGGGGGAAGUUGAAAAACUGCCUCCUCCCAAUGAACUCCUGGCUGUGGAUAACUACUCCUGGCCAUGGGAAUGUCAUGGUGAUAUGGAGCGGAAAAAAAAUGUUUUUGACAAGGUAAUGCUGCUGGCUAGACUGAAAGAAGAAGAA
This is a long non-coding RNA of Carassius carassius (crucian carp), 1166 nucleotides long. RefSeq lists it as uncharacterized. The record is from RefSeq and is a predicted model, not a curated record. The transcript is spliced from 8 exons. Lineage: Eukaryota; Metazoa; Chordata; Actinopteri; Cypriniformes; Cyprinidae.